Molecule: long non-coding RNA, 1213 nt
Filed under: Homo sapiens (human)
Lineage: Eukaryota; Metazoa; Chordata; Mammalia; Primates; Hominidae
Description: HSALNT0319928
Source: RNAcentral
CUUUGUCAUGAAGUUGUACAUAUAAAUGGUUCAAAAUCAGAGAAGAAGAAUGGAGACAUUAAAAGGUCUCUAGAGAAGUUCAGACUCAGCUUCUGCCUUAUGCCAACAAAAUUUGAAAAACCUAUGGAAAGAGAGAAAACAACUGGCCCAAAAUCUAAGGAUAGAAAGUAUCUCCAGGGAGAAAGGAGAUUUGCACCCAUGAUCAUCUGAAGGUAGAUACAGGUCUGAGCAGACAGACAGAAGCCAGCACAACUGCAGGAGAAAUGAAAUGAGGUUCUAAGCCACCUUACAGCUUAUAUUGGCCCCACCAGUCUUUUUGUUCAUUGGUUACGUGAGUCAAAUUUAUAUCCCUAAAUCCGGAAUAUGCUGCCUCCAGAAUCCAAAGAAGCCUGAGAAGCAUGGUGAUUCCUUCUUAGUGGUGGAAAGAAUGAGUUAUACACAAGAUGAAUGGAUUAACCACUGGAAGACCUGCACUACUACAAAUGUUAAAGAAAGUCCUUCCAAGAAAGAAAAAAGGCAACUUAAUGGAAACUUGUGUCUACCAAAUGGAAAGAAGAGCAAUGGGAAUCCUAACUACGGUACACUGAAGAACACUUUUGCAGCUGACUAACAACUCUUGAUAUUGAGAAAGUUAUCAGAAUUAUUUGCAAAUCUCCUCUCAGAUUUGCAAAGGAUGCUGGCAUUUCUCCAUGAGGCAGGAGUGUGAGAAAAAAAGUUGAAUGUGGUGAUGGGGAAAACACUGAAGUUCAAAAGAAGCGAAGACAAGAAGCUACUCAUGGCAGCAGCUUUUCCCAUAAAUCAAGAAAUGCUACAGAUUAUAAAUGAGAUGAGACUAUCAAGAAGAGACCUAAUAGGAGUGUGAAGACCAAAAAUUUAAAAGACGUGGUUAUAUACUUUGAGUAAACUCUAUAUAUAGGACAAUGUUAUUGUUUGGUUCUGUGUUCCUCACUCAAAUCUCACCUCAAAUUAUAAUCCCCAUGUGUCAAGGGCAGGACCAGGUGGAAGUAACUGGAUCAUGGGGGAAGUUUUCCUCAUGCUUUUCUCAUAGUAAGUGAGUUCUCAUAAGAUCUGAUUUUUUUAUAAGCAUAUGGCAUUUCCCCUCCUAGCAUUUUGCCUCCUGCUGCCUUGCAAAGACGGCAGUUGCUUCCCCUUUGCCUUCCGCCAUGACUGUAAGUUCCCUGAGUCCUCUCCAGCCAUGUGGAACUGUGGGUUA